This 216-nucleotide RNase P RNA is filed under the name Thermoproteota archaeon. Its description in RNAcentral is "partial RNase P RNA component". It matches the Rfam family "Archaeal RNase P", at positions 1 to 221 of the family's 288-position model. Rfam says of the family: Ribonuclease P (RNase P) is a ubiquitous endoribonuclease, found in archaea, bacteria and eukarya as well as chloroplasts and mitochondria. Lineage: Archaea; Thermoproteati; Thermoproteota. The record is from RNAcentral.
GUGAGCCAGCGAGUGGGUCACUCGAAAGAGAGGAAACUCCUCCCUCACUGCAGGCACCCGAAUUAGCGAUAAUUAGCCGGAGACGGCUGGCAACGGAACAGAAAAGACAUCCAGUCAGAAUGACACGAUGAUGGUGAAUAGCCUGAGAUCUCUGAUACUGGAAUGAAACUGCCGACCCGGGUGGAGCAAGGCUAAAUAGAGCACAAGGUCCUGCAC